This 795-nucleotide ribosomal RNA is filed under the name Ogataea nonfermentans. RNAcentral describes it as "LSU rRNA". The stretch from base 112 to 795 matches the Rfam family "Eukaryotic large subunit ribosomal RNA", at positions 1 to 706 of the family's 3401-position model. Lineage: Eukaryota; Fungi; Ascomycota; Pichiomycetes; Pichiales; Pichiaceae. The record is from RNAcentral.
GAUAUGAACUUCAGCUGUUUAUUCAAUGUAUUAGGUUUAAUCCAUCGUUGAUUGGCGACUGUAAGCUUCUCUCAAAAUUUGGCUCUGCCUUACAAACUAUAUCAUAAAGUUUGACCUCAAAUCAGGUAGGAUUACCCGCUGAACUUAAGCAUAUCAAUAAGCGGAGGAAAAGAAACCAACAGGGAUUGCCUUAGUAGCGGCGAGUGAAGCGGCAAAAGCUCAAAUUUGAAAUCUGGUACCUUCGGUGCCCGAGUUGUAAUUUGAAGAAAGCAAUCUUGGAUUUGGCCUUUGUCUAUGUUCCUUGGAACAGGACGUCAUAGAGGGUGAGAAUCCCGUCUGAUGAGGUGUCCAUUUCUAUGUAAGAUGUUUUCGAAGAGUCGAGUUGUUUGGGAAUGCAGCUCUAAGUGGGUGGUAAAUUCCAUCUAAAGCUAAAUAUUGGCGAGAGACCGAUAGCGAACAAGUACUGUGAAGGAAAGAUGAAAAGAACUUUGAAAAGAGAGUGAAAAAGUACGUGAAAUUGUUGAAAGGGAAGGGUAUUAGAUCAGACUUGGUAUUUAGUUAUCAUUGCUCCUUGUGGGUGGUGCUCUAGCUUUUUACUGGGCCAGCAUCAGUUUUGGUGGUAAGAUAAUGACAGUUGAACGUGGCUCCUCGGAGUGUUAUAGCUUCUGUUGAUAUUACCUACCGGGACUGAGGUCUGCGGCUUUUGCCUAGGAUGCUGGCGUAAUGAUCCAAUACCGCCCGUCUUGAAACAUGGACCAAGGAGUCUAACGUCUAUGCGAGUGUUUGGGUGUAAAA